AGUGAACGCUGGCGGUAGGCCUAACACAUGCAGGUCGAACGGCAGCACAGUAAGAGCUUGCUCUUACGGGUGGCGAGUGGCGGACGGGUGAGGAAUACAUCGGAAUCUACUUUUUCGUGGGGGAUAACGUAGGGAAACUUACGCUAAUACCGCAUACGACCUACGGGUGAAAGCAGGGGAUCUUCGGACCUUGCGCGAUUGAAUGAGCCGAUGUCGUAUUAGCUAGUUGGCGGGGUAAAGGCCCACCAAGGCGACGAUCCGUAGCUGGUCUGAGAGGAUGAUCAGCCACACUGGAACUGAGACACGGUCCAGACUCCUACGGGAGGCAGCAGUGGGGAAUAUUGGACAGUGGGCGCAAGCCUGAUCCAGCCAUACCGCGUGGGUGAAGAAGGCCUUCGGGUUGUAAAGCCCUUUUGUUGGGAAAGAAAAGCAGCAGGUUAAUACCCCGCUGUUCUGACGGUACCCAAAGAAUAAGCACCGGCUAACUUCGU
RNAcentral lists this ribosomal RNA (491 nucleotides) under uncultured bacterium. Its description in RNAcentral is "partial 16S ribosomal RNA". It matches the Rfam family "Bacterial small subunit ribosomal RNA", at positions 29 to 506 of the family's 1533-position model. The record is from RNAcentral.